UACGGAGGAUCCGAGCGUUAUCCGGAUUUAUUGGGUUUAAAGGGUGCGUAGGCGGGAUAUUAAGUCAGUGGUGAAAGUUUGACGCUCAACGUUAAAAUUGCCAUUGAUACUGGUUUUCUUGAGUACAGUUGAGGUAGGCGGAAUGUGGUGUGUAGCGGUGAAAUGCAUAGAUAUACCACAGAACACCGAUUGCGAAGGCAGCUUACUAAGUUGUAACUGACGCUGAAGCACGAAAGCAUGGGGAUCAAACAGG
RNAcentral lists this ribosomal RNA (253 nucleotides) under uncultured bacterium. RNAcentral's name for it is "partial 16S ribosomal RNA". It matches the Rfam family "Bacterial small subunit ribosomal RNA", at positions 524 to 776 of the family's 1533-position model. The record is from RNAcentral.